This 301-nucleotide ribosomal RNA is filed under the name uncultured bacterium. Its description in RNAcentral is "partial 16S ribosomal RNA". It matches the Rfam family "Bacterial small subunit ribosomal RNA", at positions 509 to 807 of the family's 1533-position model. The record is from RNAcentral.
CAGUAGCCGCGGUAAUACGUAGGUGGCAAGCGUUGUCCGGAAUUAUUGGGCGUAAAGGGCUCGCAGGCGGUUUCUUAAGUCUGAUGUGAAAGCCCCCGGCUCAACCGGGGAGGGACAUUGGAAACUGGGAAACUUGAGUGCAGAAGAGGAGAGUGGAAUUCCACGUGUAGCGGUGAAAUGCGUAGAGAUGUGGAGGAACACCAGUGGCGAAGGCGACUCUCUGGUCUGUAACUGACGCUGAGGAGCGAAAGCGUGGGGAGCGAACAGGAUUAGAUACCCCUGUAGUCCCUGUCUCUUAUAC